GAUGAACGCUGGCGGCGUGCCUAAUACAUGCAAGUCGAGCGAACAGAUAAGGAGCUUGCUCCUUUGACGUUAGCGGCGGACGGGUGAGUAACACGUGGGUAACCUACCUAUAAGACUGGGAUAACUUCGGGAAACCGGAGCUAAUACCGGAUAAUAUUUCGAACCGCAUGGUUCGAUAGUGAAAGAUGGUUUUGCUAUCACUUAUAGAUGGACCCGCGCCGUAUUAGCUAGUUGGUAAGGUAACGGCUUACCAAGGCGACGAUACGUAGCCGACCUGAGAGGGUGAUCGGCCACACUGGAACUGAGACACGGUCCAGACUCCUACGGGAGGCAGCAGUAGGGAAUCUUCCGCAAUGGGCGAAAGCCUGACGGAGCAACGCCGCGUGAGUGAUGAAGGUCUUCGGAUCGUAAAACUCUGUUAUUAGGGAAGAACAUACGUGUAAGUAACUGUGCACGUCUUGACGGUACCUAAUCAGAAAGCCACGGCUAACUACGUGCCAGCAGCCGCGGUAAUACGUAGGUGGCAAGCGUUAUCCGGAAUUAUUGGGCGUAAAGCGCGCGUAGGCGGUUUUUUAAGUCGAAGGUGAAAGCCCCCGGUCCACCCUGGAGGGUCAUUGGAAACUGGAAAACUUGAGUGCAGAAGAGGAAAGUGGAAUUCCAUGUGUAGCGGUGAAAUGCGCAGAGAUAUGGAGGAACACCAGUGGCGAAGGCGACUUUCUGGUCUGUAACUGACGCUGAUGUGCGAAAGCGUGGGGAUCAAACAGGAUUAGAUUCCCUGGUAGUCCACGCCGUAAACGAUGAGUGCUAAGUGUUAGGGGGUUUCCGCCCCUUAGUGCUGCAGCUAACGCAUUAAGCACUCCGCCUGGGGAGUACGACCGCAAGGUUGAAACUCAAAGGAAUUGACGGGGACCCGCACAAGCGGUGGAGCAUGUGGUUUAAUUCGAAGCAACGCGAAGAACCUUACCAAAUCUUGACAUCCUUUGACAACUCUAGAGAUAGAGCUUUCCCCUUCGGGGGACAAAGUGACAGGUGGUGCAUGGUUGUCGUCAGCUCGUGUCGUGAGAUGUUGGGUUAAGUCCCGCAACGAGCGCAACCCUUAAGCUUAGUUGCCAUCAUUAAGUUGGGCACUCUAAGUUGACUGCCGGUGACAAACCGGAGGAAGGUGGGGAUGACGUCAAAUCAUCAUGCCCCUUAUGAUUUGGGCUACACACGUGCUACAAUGGACAAUACAAAGGGCAGCGAAACCGCGAGGUCAAGCAAAUCCCAUAAAGUUGUUCUCAGUUCGGAUUGUAGUCUGCAACUCGACUACAUGAAGCUGGAAUCGCUAGUAAUCGUAGAUCAGCAUGCUACGGUGAAUACGUUCCCGGGUCU
Molecule: ribosomal RNA, 1371 nt
Filed under: uncultured bacterium
Lineage: Bacteria
Description: bacterial SSU rRNA
Rfam family: Bacterial small subunit ribosomal RNA
Source: RNAcentral